AAAAAGCAUGUGAUUAUUUUUUACUCUUAAAAAAAUGUCACUAAAUAAGAUAAGGAGACUUGGCUUUGCCCUAUCUUGGGCUCCACAUGUCCUGUUUCUCACUGAGAGACCCUGGCAAGGAGUUUCUCAGUGACAAAGAAAUGGUUUCUUCUCCUCUAGUUCUGAGCUAUAAACACCUUCUCUAAUCGACAUAGAAACGGCUAAGCAGUAGAUAUUUUCAGUCAGAGUACCCCAGUUUUAGUCAUAAAUUAUAUGCCUCUCCUUUUGGAAAUAUAAGGGGUAUAAUUUUUAUUCUUGGGCAGACAUAGUCCUGUGCCCGAUACCUUAGGAAAGAGCCAAAAAGAGAAUGUGGACACAGCUUGUCAUGGUGGAUGGAGAGGAAGGAGACACCAGGGGUAGGGACUCUGUAUUCUGAAGCUCUGAGGCCACAGGAUGAAAAAUCAGAGCCAAGUGAAUGCCUUCUCUGCCUCUCCAAUCCAUGCCAACCCAGGGCUGGCUGCUCACAUGGGGUCUGCACAAACUUGAAAAUCUCCAGAUGUUUUAUAGGGGGGACAAAGCCACGCUUUCUGCUGCAACAGACUGUGAGACUUUUAGGAUGCUCACCCCAAGGCCCUUGAAAAAUGAGAGAGGGGUCUGAUUCUUUGAGAUGGGUAAGGCAGAGGCACCCCGUGGAAGUCAAGCAUUCCUUCUCUCUUCCCUCCCAAGGCCAGCAUGUAAUUUCAAAUGUCCAGUCCAUCCAUGAACAAUAUGUUAGCCUUUGGCCAGGCGGUGAGCUUCCAAAAUGCAAACAUCUCAGCCUCUGUCUGCAGAGGUGAGAAUUCAGCUUGGCAGAGGAAUGGGACACUGUCAAGGAAGACAAGCUUUUGGAGUCAGACAAUCCCAGGUUUGCAUAUUGGCCUUGUUUUGUUGGUUUGUUUUGCUUUGUGUUAAAAUCUAAUUUAUUCUGCAAACUACAGCAGGUUAGUUAAUCCUUUGAAACCUCAGGUUUCUGAGCUAUAAUACAGGAAUAAUUAUAAGUGCUUUGCAGCAGAUUUGUGAGGAUUCUGAGAGUUGUUGGAUGUGUCUAGCACAUUCCUUCUAACUUAUAAAGCAUUAUAUGCCAAGUAUGAAUCUAAGUAAUGCACAUGCCCUAAUCUUUUCCAUCCUUACAACUAUUUAUAGCACUGCCCCCAUAUGGCAAAUGAAGGCUCAGAGAGGUCAAGGCACCUGCCCACAGUCACAAAGUCAGUAAGCAGCUGAUUCUGGAGCUGGUGCUCUCACCACAGGGACUGCUAUAUACCCAUAGUGGAAGCCUGGGGCUAGGAAUGAAGAUCUGUGUUCAUUCAUUCAUUCAUUCAUUCAUUCAACAAUUCACCUGGGCAUCUCUGAGAGAGGAUUACUCACAACAGGUUCUCAGACAAAAAAAAAAAUACAAUCUCUCCUUCCAGGAGUUGAAGAUCUCUCAGGGGAAACAGACAAGUACCCAAAACUAAAUCAAGGUAGAAUAUGACACCAGGGAGGAAGAGAGUAUGGCAGAGGACCUGUUAAAUGGCAGGAACAGACUGAUUUAAUGAAGGUGGUGGUAUUUCUGCUGAGCCUCAAAGGAUAGGCAUGAUUUUGACAGAUGCACUCAGCCUGGUUCAGUCCAAAUUAGGGCCCCCUUGUUCUUUCUCAUCACAACCCAUUCAUUUCCUUUGUUGGACUCACUGUGAUUUUAAUUUCACAGCUAUUUGCUGAUUUAUUUGUUCAAUGCUGGUCUCCCACACUAGACCAUGAGCAGGAAGGAGAGGCAGCAUGCAACUGUGCUCGUUGUCUACACAGGGCCUAGCACUGGGCCUGGGCCAGGGCAGGCACCUGGGAGAUUGCUGCAAGAGAGAAGGUCACCUAUCUCCCCAGGUAGCCUCUCUCACCCUGACAAUGUAUCUUCACAGGUAAGGGACAAAGACAAGACUAGAAAUCAUCCCUCUGCCCACCUCAAGACAAAUGCAGAUCUGACUUCUUCUUCCUCUACUCUAUGUUUACUUUAUCUUAUGUAAAAUACAAGAUUUACUGAGCAGGAGCCGAAUGCA
This 2048-nucleotide long non-coding RNA is filed under the name Homo sapiens (human). RNAcentral describes it as "HSALNT0358599". The record is from RNAcentral. Lineage: Eukaryota; Metazoa; Chordata; Mammalia; Primates; Hominidae.